ACGAACCGUACGAACGUUAUUCGGAAUUACUGGGCUUAAAGGGUGCGUAGGCGGCGCGGAAAGUAGGGUGUGAAAUCCCUCGGCUCAACCGAGGAACUGCGCUCUAAACUACCGUGCUCGAGGGAGGUAGAGGUGAGCGGAACUGAGGGUGGAGCGGUGAAAUGCGUUGAUAUCCUCAGGAACACCGGUGGCGAAAGCGGCUCACUGGACCUCUUCUGACGCUGAGGCACGAAAGCUAGGGUAGCGAACGGGAUUAGAUACCCCGGUAGUCCUAGCCGUAAACGAUGAGCACUGGAUUGGAGGGCCCUCCAUAGCCUUCCGGUCGCAGCGAAAGUGUUAAGUGCUCCGCCUGGGGAGUAUGGUCGCAAGGCUG
This 373-nucleotide ribosomal RNA is filed under the name uncultured bacterium. RNAcentral describes it as "bacterial SSU rRNA". It matches the Rfam family "Bacterial small subunit ribosomal RNA", at positions 525 to 896 of the family's 1533-position model. The record is from RNAcentral.